This is an unclassified non-coding RNA of Octopus bimaculoides (California two-spot octopus), 3630 nucleotides long. The record is from RefSeq and is a predicted model, not a curated record. NCBI's taxonomy places the organism in Eukaryota, Metazoa, Mollusca, Cephalopoda, Octopoda, Octopodidae.
UUGUUAACAACCGAAAACUAUAUUUGCGUAGUGGACGAAAUACAAACUAAGGGCACAUAACUGGUGUGAUUAAUGCACUUCACACGUGGUCAGGGGCUUCAGAUUUAAUAACAAAUCUGUUUAUUGACUACAAUUUGCUGUACAAUUAGCAUUUCCUUGCUGGGUACACCAAUCAUCAUCUAUCCAUCGCCUUCACUGCUUCACAUGCUUCUAGGUCUUAAAUACGUAUGGCCUAUGAACCAUAAACUUCUGUGGUCACCAAAUUUACAACACUUGGAAUUUUGUUAAAACCUUCUAGGUUAACAAACGCAAGGGAUUAAUCUACUAUGAGUGACCAAAGUCCAUAUACAAUUGAAGAACGAUUAGUUGCAGCUGUUUGGAUGCAUGAUCGUGUUCUUAAUAAUAAAAAAAUACCCGAAAUUCGGCGAUUGUUCCAGGAACGUUUUGGAAAGCCUUCACCUACACCACGCAUCUUGAGAGAAUGGGAGAAAAAAGUAUUUGAAACUGGUAGUGUUCUUGAUGCACCUCGUUGUGGUCGACCAAGGACAAGAUUUGAACAUCUAACUGCAAUACAAGAGUCACUUAUUCGUUCGCCUUCAUUAUCAAUGAGGAAGCGUUCAGCAGAAUUACAAAUUCCAAAAAGUACUUUGAGAAAAAUUCUUAAGUUAGAUCUUCCACAGGAUUCAGUGGUUUAUGAAGUUCAAAACAUAGAUGAAGAUACAAAAGUGGAAAAUGGUGAUGGCGUUCAGUGAUAGACGUGUUAUACAUUCUGCAGUACAGCAGUACAAAUGUUCUUGUUGGCAAGGGAAACUACUCCAGAUGCUUAACAAAUUCAUGUACAUAGAGGUUAAUUCCCUGUACAUAUUCUAUGGCAUAGUGUAAAUCUGUAACGACAGGUUUACAGUGAUCAUCUGCUUGUAUCGCUGUUGCAGAUAGAACAUUUUCAUGCAAGAGUAGUUGGAGGUUUAUAUCCUCAAAAAUGGGAUAAGCUCUGACAUACAAGCGAUACAAUGGAGAAAAAAAAACCCCAAAAAAACCUUUGAAAUAUUUUCCACACAAGAAGUAAACUUUAAAAGAAAAAAAAAAAACAACAGAACAAAAUUUUAGAGAUUUUUUAAUAAACAUGCUUCGAUUUUACAAGGAAAAUGGAGAAAACUGAGUAUCGUGCUGUCAUAAAGUACUUUCAUUUGAAAGGCAUGACUCCAUCAGAAAUCCAUGAAGAUAUGGUGAGAACCUUAACAGACAAUGCUCCUUCAUAUGCAACAGUCAAACGCUGGGUAAAUGAAUUCCAGCGAGGCAGGGAGAGUGUGAAAGAUAAUCCCACACCAAGGAGACCUCCAACUGCAACUACCGAGGACAACAUUGACCUUGCUCUUAGUAUAAUAAUGCAAGAUCGUUGAAUAUUAUGUCAUCAGAUAGACGAGAGACUGGGCAUCUCAACCGAAAGAGCAGACAACAUUGUGACAAAAGAACUUGGGUUCUCAAAGGCUUCUGAAAGGUGAGUCCGUUGCCCUUUGACUCCUGAACAGAAAUGCACCAGUUGCACCUUGUCCACAAGCAAUCUGGAACUGUUUGAAGCCGAUGAAGAGAAUUUUCUUGCUUGUUUCAUUACUAUGGACGAAAGUUGGGUUCAUCACUACCAGCCUGAAACCAAAGAACAAUCGAAGCAGUGGAAGCACACAUCUUCUCCCACCCCAAAGAAGGCCAGGGUCAUUCCUUCAGCUGGCAAGGUCAUGGUGUCAGUUUUUUUGGAUUCUCAAGGUGUCUUCCUGAUCAAUUACCUUGAAAAGGGUCACACCGUGACAGGGCUGUAUUAUACUCAGCUACUGAAAUGCCUCCGAGAAGCAAUCAAAGAAAAAAUGCCGGGAAUGCUCACCAGAGGAUUCCUUUUUCAUUAUGACAAUUGUCCAGCCCACACCUCAGUGGUUGCCAUGGCAACAAUUCGUGAUUGUGGAUACCAACUUGUUCCCCAUCCGCUUUAUUCACCAGACUUAGCCCCCUCUGACUUUCAUCUAUUCCCAAAAAUGAAAAAGCCCUGGCUGGUCACCAUUUAUAUAUACAAGGGGUGUCUGAAAAGUUUUGAGCCUAACCUAGAAUCGAGGCUGCUAUAUAGUUGAAACAAUUUUUUCUGGUAAGUACAGUCUUUUCGGAGUAUUCUUGCUCAUUUUCAUGAUUCUGAUAUUUUAAUUUUUUUUGUUGCAGAUUUUUGAAUAAACAAGCUUCGAAUUUACAAGGAAAAUGGAGAAAACUGAGUAUCAUGCUGUCAUAAAGUACCUUCAUUUGAAAGGCAUGACUCCAUCAGAAAUCCAUGAAGAUAUGAUGAGAACCUUAACAGACAAUGCUCCUUCAUAUGCAACAGUCAAACGCUGGGUAAAUGAAUUCCAGCGAGGCAGGGAGAGUGUGAAAGAUGAUCCCACACCAACGAGACCUCCAACUGCAACCACUGAGGACAACCUUGACCUUGCUCUUGGUAUAAUAAUGCAAGAUUGCUGAAUAUCAUGUUGUCAGAUAACCGAGAGACUGGGCAUCUCAACUGAAAGAGCAGACAACAUUGUGACAAAAGAACUUGGGUUCUCAAGGGUUUCUGAAAGGUGGGUCCCUCGCCUUUUGACUCCUGAACAGAAAUGCACUAGUUGCACCUUGUCCACGAGCAAUCUGGAACUGUUUGAAGCUGAUGAAGAGAAUUUUCUUGCUUGUUUCAUUACUAUGGACGAAAGUUGGGUCCAUCACUACCAGCCUGAAACCAAAGAACAAUCAAAGUAGUGGAAGCACACACCUUCUCCCACCCCAAAGAAGGCCAGGGUCAUUCCUUCAGCUGCAAAGUCAUGGCAUCCGUUUUUGGGAUUCUCAAAGUGUCUUGCUGAUCGAUUACCUUGAAAAGGGUCACACCGUGACAGGGCUGUAUUAUACUCAGUGACUGAAAUGCCUCCAAGAAGCAAUCAAAGAAAAAAUGCCGGGAAUGCUCACCAGAGGAUUCCUUUUUCAUUAUGACAAUUGUCCAGCCCACACCUCAGUGGUUGCCAUAGCAACAAUUCAUGAUUGUGGAUAUGAACUUGUUCCCCAUCCGCCUUAUUCGCCAGACUUAGCCAAGUGAGGGAAUAAUCUAUGGCCUCUGCCAGAAGUGUAGCCAGCUCACUUAUUCGUAUCUUUACUUCAUUUGACACUAAACUCUGCUUGUGAAGACCUGUUGAGGCAAGUGAAUUGAAAUUGAAAUCGAACCAAAUUCGAUGACUUGCACCCAUACCAACCUCUCCUUCAUUGGAAACUAAACUCUGCUUGCGAAGACCUGUUGGAGCAAGUGAAAUCGAAAUCGUAAUUGAACCAUAUUCGAUUACCGGCACCUGUGCCAGUUGAGCUCUAACAGCACCGUCCAAGUGUGAUCAUUGCCAGAGCAGCUGUCUGGCUUCAGUGCUAGUGACACGUAAAUAGCACCAUUUGAGUGUGAUCAUUACCAGCAUCGCCUUACUGGCACUAUAUAUAUUAUAUAUAUAUACGCACACAUAUAUAUCUAUACACACACAUAUAUAUUAUAUAUAUAGAUAUAUAUGUGUGUGUAUAGAUAUAUAUGUGACAUCACAAAAAAAACGUUAAACGCAAUUUGAAAUGAAAACAAAAAACGAAUUUUUUUUU